RNA transcript from Rhodamnia argentea, 2739 nucleotides. It is a transcript of the gene named putative F-box protein At5g55150, with no coding region annotated. The record is from RefSeq and is a predicted model, not a curated record. Lineage: Eukaryota; Viridiplantae; Streptophyta; Magnoliopsida; Myrtales; Myrtaceae. The transcript has 2 exons.
ACAACUUUCAUGGUUUAAUAUUAACUUCACCGGAACUGAUUGUGUAUCUUCCUUGUUGGAUUCUGCUUCAAAUCAAUUUGAGAAAAUUUAGCAUGGCGAGAAGCUGGGCAGAUCUCCCACAAGAGUUGUUACGACAAUGCUCGCGACGCCUUUGUCCGAAGAAUUUAUCGGUGUUCCGAGCAGUGUGCCGCUCGUGGCGAUCUGCUGCUGUCAAAGAGUGGAGUGACGUCCCAAGUCUGAUGCUCGCGGACAAAGGGGAAAUGCUGUGGCGUGAGUUUUUCUGCCUCCGAUGUGAGCAGUUUCACACAAAGCUCCUGCCAGAAGUGAUGGCGAACAGAUAUUUCUCUUCGCGAGAUUGGGUGUUAACUAUCAGCAGAGACUGGGAAUUCCAAAUGCUAAGGAAUCCCAUGUUGCGUUACAGUCGUAUAAUUAAGCUUCCUAGUUGGAAUAAGUUCCCCGACAUCUAUGUUUUGCCUCCAUUUUAUGUUAGCUUCAUCACUAAGUUCGUCCUAUCUGAUAGCCCUACUACAUCUCAAGAUUACAAGGUCAUGGUCAUCUAUGAUCACGGACGAAGGUUAGGUCUUUGGAAACCUGGUGACGAGGAGUGGACAGCAGUGACCUCCCCCGCGGUUGAAUAUUGCGACGUCAUAUAUCAUAAGGGGUGCUUCAUUGCUCUUGAUGGUGAGGGUGGCAUAUAUAGGUGCGAUGUGGAUGGAUCAACUCCGUUUGAGGCUCAAGUUGUUUUUGAGAUGCCGGAAAGACUUCUAGAACCAUUCGGUCUAGUUCAAUUGUAUUUAGUGCAAGCAAUGACAGGAUCUCUGUUGUUUGUGUCACAAUGGGAAGAUUGCUCGGAUUUCAGCAUGAGUAGACGAAGACCUACUGGAUCCUAUCGAUUUGACGUUUUCGAGAUUGACCUGGAUACUCAGACAUACACAGAAGUUUUGAGCUUGGAGAACAAGUCCCUCUUCUUGGGCCACAAUUCUUCCUUCUGUUUGGAGGUCGAUGAAAAUCAUAUAAUUGAGUCAAAUUGUAUUUAUUUCACUAAGUAUAAUAUCCCACCAUCCCAAUUUACUGAAGAUGGAGGAGUCACAAACAUGGGAAUAUACCACCUCAAAGAUGGUACGAUCAAGCCGCAUGUCAAAGGGAAAUCCUCUCCUCUGCUUUGGAUUGAACCAAGCUUUUAAGCCAUAGCUGUUUGGCUUGUUAUCAUUGAUAAGGUGAGCAGAUUAGUGGACUGUUCUGUGAUAAAUAUGGUUGGUGUAUAAAGUUGGCAAUUCAUUUUAAAAACAUGAAAUUGUUAGGUCAUUGGACAUGAAUGUGUGCUUUCAAUGCUUGCUGUUUGCUUUGAGGGUAAUCAAUUGUUAAGUGUGAACAAAUUGUCUGGUGGGUUGUUGCUGAUUGAUGAUACAAACAGAAGAAUUGAGAUGCACCUCAUUCGCUUAUUUGAAUUACUUGCUGUUUGUUAUUUUUUCCAAAAAGAAAGAGAUCAAGUAUAAAAAUAUUUCCAUUAAUGAAAGAUGUAUCCAUUGGAAAAUCAAAACUACGCAUGUUUAUGUAUCAGAUUGUUUGGUUUUGCUUGAUGAAUAUGCUUAUGCAUUGGACCUUGCCAUCUCAGUGUCAGUUUUAAUCAAGAGCAAUGCUUCCUGUGUCAUAUGAUGCAUGAAUCAUGUGAAAUUACUAUAUUAAUUUUUUAGGAGGUUCUGCUUUUCCGUCGACAGACGUUUUAACGGUGUCUGCCCACUGGAAAAGGUUAUAAGUACUCGUCUAGACAAUGCUUAUAGGAAUAUACACAAUCAAAGCUGUAGAAGGCGUGACCACUUUUUAUGUGACAAAAGGGCCGUUUUUCACGUGUCUUUUGCCUGAAAUUUUUUCCAUUCAUUUAUGGAAAGUAAGUUGAGUUAUUUUCACUCAUUUCAGUAUCAUAUGGGAUUAUAUUCUUAAAUUGGAUAUCCUGUUUUAAUGAUCUUUUCGACAUGGCAAAAAAGCACAGCAUGAUUUUCAAGGGAAUGCUUGGACUUGCAGGAGAUGGAGCAUCUAAGAGCUGCACUGGGAAAUGAAGCUUUUAAGAUUGAGCUGUUUGAUGAAAUUACUCUGAUGAAUGAUGAUGGAGCUGUAUUUUUAUUGUUUCUUUGGUGUUGCUAAGUGAUCGGAAGAUAUGGAGCGAUUCCAUGUUCUGGUUUUUCAACCACUUGGUGUAGAGUUGUUUGGAAAUGCUACUAAUUGCUUGUUUGCUUGGGCAGGACACUUUACUUUUGAGGAACCCAUUGUGGAAUUUGUUUUUUGUACUUUGAAGAUCUCAAGUCCCAAAUGUGAAGUCUCUUGUCAUACUGAUUGAUUGCUCAGCGCUGAUUGGAGAACUUUGUCCCUUUUGCCUUUUGUUUUUCUGGGUGGAAAGUUGUGUUCGCUUUGAGAUCUGAAUCUCCGGAGGGCUUGAGAAUAUUACUUUCACUCUUGCAAGAAUUGAAUACAUUGCUGUUGAAAUGGGUAGAAACGUGGCUUGUGUUGCCGAGUUUCAAAUGUGCUGAAGUGAUCUAAUUCGGAUCGUGGCCCAUUCACCCGUGGGGACUUCUCCAGUUCUCUCUAAGCUCGCUCUUCGUGUGUGGAAUGGAGGUGUACGGCUUCUUACAAGGUUGUUGGCUUUGGUUACUUAACUUAUGCUAUGUUCGGGAAGCACCACGACCACAAUCUCAACUUGUCUGGAAUGACUGAUAAAAUGCGGUGUGUUGUCGAUUUGUGCUA